GACAGAGGGUGCAAACGUUGCUCGGAAUUACUGGGCGUAAAGCGCGUGUAGGCGGGCUUGUAAGUUGGACGUGAAAGCCCUGGGCUCAACCCAGGAAUUGCAUCCAAAACUACAAGUCUAGAGUGAUGGAGAGGGUCGCAGAAUUCCUGGUGUAGAGGUGAAAUUCGUAGAUAUCAGGAGGAACACCGGUGGCGAAGGCGGCGACCUGGACAUUAACUGACGCUGAGACGCGAAAGCGUGGGGAGCAAAC
RNAcentral lists this ribosomal RNA (250 nucleotides) under uncultured bacterium. RNAcentral describes it as "partial 16S ribosomal RNA". It matches the Rfam family "Bacterial small subunit ribosomal RNA", at positions 524 to 773 of the family's 1533-position model. The record is from RNAcentral.